GAUGAACGCUAGCUACAGGCUUAACACAUGCAAGUCGAGGGGAAACGACAUCGAAAGCUUGCUUUUGAUGGGCGUCGACCGGCGCACGGGUGAGUAACGCGUAUCCAACCUGCCCACCACUUGGGGAUAACCUUGCGAAAGUAAGACUAAUACCCAAUGAUAUCCCACGAAGGCAUCCGAAUGGGAUUAAAGAUUUAUCGGUGAUGGAUGGGGAUGCGUCUGAUUAGCUUGUUGGCGGGGGUAACGGGCCCGACCAAGGCGACGAUCAGUAGCCGGUCUGAGAGGAUGAACGGCCACAUUGGAACUGAGACACGGUCCAGACUCCUACGGGAGGCAGCAGUGGGGAAUCUUCCGCAAUGGGCGAAAGCCUGACGGAGCAACGCCGCGUG
This 389-nucleotide ribosomal RNA is filed under the name uncultured bacterium. RNAcentral's name for it is "bacterial SSU rRNA". It matches the Rfam family "Bacterial small subunit ribosomal RNA", at positions 28 to 403 of the family's 1533-position model. The record is from RNAcentral.